ACAGAAACCUUUGUGAACAAAAUAAAAAUCUUUGAAACGAAUGAAACAGAUAUCCUGACCACAUAUGACUUUGAGGUGUUAAUUUGCAACAAAUAAUUGAUGGCGAGAUAGAUACAGUAGAAAAUCCACAAGAAAUUAUAGAAUGUAUAAAUCAACAGCUGAUAGGGUUAAAGAAUGAAUUGCGAAAACAGCAUAUAAAAAAACUGAAAUGGCUUUUACAAAUGCAACUCCGUAAAAAUGAAACUAAAAAUUGCUUCCAAUUGCAAGAAGUUAUUACAGUAAUUAGCGACAUCAGCAUUCCAAAUCCAGUUAAAGAAAUUUUAAAAAAAGGUCCUGUGUAUGCAAUAAGAAUUAUACCUAACUAUAUGGAUGUCAUUCCGUCAUUUGAAAGAGUUAUUAAAGAUCUUAACGAAUUAGAGAAAGAAAAGCAGAGAUGGAAAUUAUUGCAAGAGACUGAAACAAAACAAGCAAAACAACGAAAUUCACGAGGCUAGAAGAGAAAGACAACGGAUAAAAAUGGUGAGAAAUUGGAUGGUACAGAAUGACUUAAUAGUAACUAGAGAAGAUAAGUCAAACAAAGUUGUUAUAGUAAAAAACGAGUUACAUGAAAAGGACCUCAAAAGAUAUAUAAAAGAUACGAAGGCAGAAAUCCUGAAGAACGACCUGACACCAACAAUAACUAAUAAAAUCAAUAAACUGCUAAAGCAUAAAGACAUGCCAGACUUCUUAAAAAUAAAAUAAGUACCUAACCCUGCUUGCCCAAGGCUUUUUGAAUAUGCUAAGACCCACAAAUCUCCGAUAACAUUCAGACCGAUUCUGGAAAAGUUCCGAGCGCCCACAUAUUAUUUGGAAAAGCUGUGGCUUCAUGGAUAGCUGGAAUAACAAAUUCAUAUGAGAAUCCAGCAUUGUUUCGAGAUUUAGCAGACUUAUUAUGCAAUAAAUCAUACUUCGAAUUUAAGAAUAAAUUUUAUAGGC
Molecule: long non-coding RNA, 975 nt
Filed under: Androctonus crassicauda
Lineage: Eukaryota; Metazoa; Arthropoda; Arachnida; Scorpiones; Buthidae
Source: RNAcentral